UGGGGGGAAAGUAAGUUCAUUUCAAUACAUAAAAGUCAAUUUAAAAACAUUUUUAUAAAAAAGUAAAUUCAUUAAAAACAAGUUCAUUUAAAAUGUUCAUUUAAAAUAAAUUUUAAUACAUGCAUUAUUCUAAUAAUAUAUAAUAAAUAAUUUCUUAAUAAUAAAUACAUUUAACAUACAAAUAAAUAAGUUAUUUAAAUACAUUAUAACACAAAUCACUAAAAAAAAAAUUUAAUAAAUACAUACAAUUAUUAUUAUUAUUAUUUUUUUUUUAAUUAUUCCGGGAGGCAUCAGAUAUACUGUAGAAAACAAACAUAUGACAAAUUAGAUUUGUUAGUUGCAUGAUGAUCACAUCAAUCAAGUUAACAGUAUGAUAAACAACAGAGGUGCCCAAACUCAGUCCUGGAGGACCAGUGUCCUGUAGAGUUUAGACAAAUAAACACACCUGAACCAGCUUAUCAAGCUCUUACUAGGCAUACUACAAAACUUCCCAGCAUGUGUGUUGAGGCAAGAAUGGAGCUAAACUCUGCAGGACACCGGCCCUUCAGGACCUCUGCCCUAAACCCAAUGUGUGCAAAACACUAAAUUUGAAUAAAAACAUGUUUUGGCUCAUUUAUAAGCCCUUUUAACUAGUGUUCUCACAACUUGGUUGUCAUGAUAUUUCCCUAUACAAGUGAGAACAUUUGGCCCUCAAACAAUUACAAUCAAACCUGUAUAUAUACACACACAACCACACACAGGGAGGGAGGGAGAGAGACAGAGAGAGAGGAAGUUUACCCUCUUGUUACUAUGCGCCUCGGUGACGUCAUCUGAUUGGACCACUGCCAAGUUUAAGACCACUGGCCCACUGACCCCCUCUCACUCGACUCACUGACUACUCUGCAGCAGCAACAACCACAUAUUGUCUGAGCAUCACAAUGGCAACAUGCAGUCCAUACAGCCGUCCGGAGCCACUGAAAUGUAAAUGCGUUGCCACACGUGUCACAAGAAAGGCAGUAGCCUAUGUAAAGUGUGGAGACAAAAUUGAAGUAGAGCAACACAGAUUUACGGCAUUCAGUGUUGUAACAGAUGGAAAUAACACUUACAUUUCAUCGAAGAAUGGUGAGUAUAGCAGGAACAACUGUGACCCACUGAUUAAACAACUGUAAAAUCAACAGAUCAACAACAAAAAAAAAAAAAAAAAAAAGAUCAAUCACUGAAAAACUCCAAAGAGUGCAGUUUUAACAGUCCAUUAUAAUUGCUGCUUGUCACUAAGAUCUUAGGAUAAAAGCCAAAUGUUGUGGCCUCAACAGACAUUUAUCAAAAACUAUACUAUAUAUAUAUAUAUAUAAGUAAAACUUUGGUCAUAAUUAACAGCUCUAAAUGAGCAGUGCAUGUCUGUACAUCAUUUACACACAACAAUUCAAUGUUACAACACAGAUCAGACAAGGCCACUGAAACUUUAG
Long non-coding RNA from Cyprinus carpio carpio, 1445 nucleotides. The record is from Ensembl. NCBI's taxonomy places the organism in Eukaryota, Metazoa, Chordata, Actinopteri, Cypriniformes, Cyprinidae.